Mustela lutreola (European mink) is the source of this 8613-nucleotide RNA transcript. It is a transcript of the gene named FLVCR choline and heme transporter 1, with no coding region annotated. The record is from RefSeq and is a predicted model, not a curated record. The transcript has 13 exons. NCBI's taxonomy places the organism in Eukaryota, Metazoa, Chordata, Mammalia, Carnivora, Mustelidae.
GGCCUGGAGCAGGGUGACCGCAGGCCUGGAGGAGCGAGAGGACAGCUAUUUCGCCCGCGGCCUCCCGUAGCGCCGGCUGGGUUUCGCGGGUCGCACCCAGGCUCACCCGGCCAGGGAAAAGGGUUGCAUGAGCGGUGGUCCAAAGGGUUGGGGUUGGGGUGCCGGGAGGGCCUCGGGUCGUGGGCGGGGGGCUGCGGGGAGGGGAAGGAGGGCCGCGGCGCGGGGGAGCGCAGGGACAUGGCACAGCUGGACGAUGAGGAGGGGGCAGCGGUGGCACCCGGGCACCCGCCCGCGAAUGGAUACCUCCUGGUCCCGGGCGGCGAGCCCCUCGGAAAGCUAAGCGCCGAGCCGCAGAACGGGCUCAAAGCCGGCUGCCUGACCCUGAAUGGAGUGUCUCCGGACAGCCUCGCGGCCGCGGCUCAGUCCCUCGGCGGGCCUCAGACUCCGCUGGCUCCAGAGGAGGAGACCCAGACACGGCUGCUGCCCACGGGCCCCGGGGAGGAGACCGCCGGGGCCGAGGGUUCCCGGGUGCCCCAGACGGCGCUCUCUGCGCGGCGCUUUGUGGUGCUGCUGAUCUUCAGCCUGUACUCGCUGGUGAACGCCUUUCAGUGGAUCCAGUACAGCAUCAUCAGCAAUGUCUUUGAGGGCUUCUAUGGCGUCUCCUCCCUGCACAUCGACUGGCUGUCCAUGGUGUACAUGCUGGCCUACGUGCCCCUCAUCUUUCCGGCCACGUGGCUGCUGGACACCAGAGGCCUGCGGCUCACCGCCCUGCUGGGCUCCGGCCUCAACUGCCUGGGCGCCUGGAUCAAGUGCGCCAGUGUCCAGCAGCAUCUCUUCUGGGUCACCAUGCUGGGCCAGUGUCUCUGCUCCGUGGCCCAGGUGUUCAUCCUCGGCUUGCCCUCCCGCAUCGCCUCGGUGUGGUUUGGCCCCAAGGAGGUAUCCACAGCUUGUGCCACUGGCGUGCUGGGCAAUCAGCUUGGAACUGCUGUUGGCUUUUUGCUACCACCAGUUUUAGUGCCCAACACACAGAAUGACACAGAUCUGCUGGCUUGUAAUAUCAGUACCAUGUUUUAUGGGACGUCAUCCAUCGCCACGUUUUUAUGUCUUUUAACAGUAAUUGCAUUCAAAGAAAAACCUCAGUAUCCACCAAGCCAGGCGCAAGCAGUUCUUCAAAAAAGCCCCUGUGCUGAGUACUCCUAUAAGAAAUCAAUAAGGAACCUAUUUAAAAACAUUCCUUUUGUCCUUCUGUUGAUCACUUACGGUAUCAUAACGGGAGCAUUUUACUCAGUCUCAACAUUAUUAAAUCAAAUGAUACUGACAUAUUAUAAGGGAGAAGAAAUCAAUGCUGGAAGGAUUGGGCUAACAUUGGUAGUGGCUGGAAUGGUGGGCUCUAUUCUUUGUGGCCUAUGGCUAGAUCAUACCAAAACAUACAAACAGACUACUCUGAUAGUUUACAUUUUGUCUUUUUUGGGAAUGGUUGUAUUUACUUUCACGUUGGACCUUGGAUACAUUAUCAUCGUGUUUGUUACUGGAGGGAUACUCGGUUUCUUCAUGACUGGUUACCUCCCAUUGGGUUUUGAAUUUGCUGUUGAAAUCACUUACCCUGAAUCUGAAGGUACUUCCUCUGGUCUUCUUAAUGCUUCAGCCCAGAUAUUUGGAAUUUUGUUCACAUUGGCUCAAGGAAAGCUCACAUCAGACUAUGGUCCUAAGGCAGGGAACAUUUUCCUUUGUAUUUGGAUGUUUCUAGGCAUCAUUUUAACAGCAUUAAUCAAGUCUGAUCUCAAAAGACACAAUAUAAACAUAGGAAUUACGAACGGUGAUAUUAAAGCUGUACCAGUUGAAGAGAGUCCCACAGAUCAAGAAUCCAAAACCAUGAUGAUGUCCAAGCAGUCAGAAUCGGCAAUUUGAGGCGAAGGAAAAAGUUAACAUCAUGUGAUAGUUGGGCAGCCCCGGGAAAGCAUCCGUCACGGCGUGUAGAGUAAAAACAUGUCCUCUGGGAACCUAAAGUCUAAGGUUUGUGGUGAGGAUGAAAUUUAAGUAGAAGGCACACCGGAGAUCCUUAACCAAGAGAUCCAUUGUCACUCCCCCGGUGAGAAACAGUAAAGGUAGGGGCAGACUCUGCUAACACAGCCAGCUGACUGAUUUGGGAGAAUGUGUGUUCAAGUGUUUGAACUUGACAUUUUUUGUAGCAGCUGCCUUUAAGAUCAUUGAUAUCCAAAGUACUUAGCCACUUCAGUGUACAUGUGGGCGCAACGCUGGGCAUGGUGCAAAGAAAUGAAACAAAACUGAAUUCUAAAGACAUGGUGAGAUCUGGACAGACGGGGUGGAAGUCAGGGUGCUUAGGCACCAAAGAACAAAACUGAGACUCUCAGGAAAAAGUGGUUUCUGUGUUUAUUGCACAACCCACAACAAAGGAGGUUAAACGACAAGCUAAGAACAAGCUGCCCAAGAGUCCCCGACCCACAGGCAACUCUCUCUCCUCGUUUCCUUUUCACUCACAUGCGUGCAGAACCUCACACAAAUAGAAAGCACCUUGUGUAUUUCAUGUAACAUCCUAGGCAUUUUCCAUGUUGCUACAUGGCCUUGAUAACCAUUGUUUUAUUUCUAUUUUUACUUUUUCCAGUUUUAUUGACAUGUAAUUGACAUAGAACAUUGUAGUAGUUUAAGGUGUACACAUGAGUUGACAUAUGUGUAUAUUGUGAAACGAUUGCACAAUAAGGUUGGCUAAUAUCCAGCCCCUCACAACUACACAUUUUGUUUUUCUUGUAAUGAGAACUUCUAGGAUCUACUCUCUUAGUACUUUUCAAAUAACCAUUAUUUAAAACAAAACAGGACUUGGGACGCCUGGGUGGCUUAGUGGGUUAAAGCCUCUGCCUUUGGCUCAGGUCAUGAUCCUGGGGUCCUGGGAUUGAGCCCCAAAUCAGGCUCUCUGCUCAGUGGGGAGCCUGCUUCCUCCUCUCUCUCUGCCUGCCUCUCUGCCUACUUGUGAUCUCUGCCUGUCAAAUAAAUUAAUUAAAUUAAAUUAAACAAAAAACAAAAAACAAAAAAUACAGGGCACCUGGGUGACUCAGUCAGUUAAGCGUCUGCCUUCAGCUCAGGUAAUGAUCCCAGGGUCCUGGGGCAGAGUCCCACAUCAGGUUCCCUGCUGAGCAGGUAGUCUGCUUUUCUCUAUGCCUGUCCCCACCCUCUGCUUGUGCACUCCAUCUCUCCCUCUCUUGCAAAAAUAAAUAAAUAAAAUCUGGGGCACCUGGGUGGCUCAGUGGAUUAAGCCUUUGACUUCAGCUCAGGUCAUGAUCUCAGGGUUCUGAGAUCAAGCUCUGCAUCGGGCUCUCUGCUCAGCAGGGAGCCUGCUUCCCCCUCUCUCUCUGCCUGCCUCUCUGCCUACUUGUGAGCUUUCUCUCUCUCUGUCAAAUAAAUAAAUAAAAUCUUUAACAAAUAAAUAAAUAAAUAAAAUCUUUUAAAAAGUAAAUAAAACAAGACAAAACAACAAAUAACCAUUAAUUAAAAUAGGGUUUUUUUUUUUUAAAGAUUUUAUUUAUUUAUUUGACAGACAGAGAUCACAAGUAGGCAGAGAGGCAGGUAGAGAGAGAGGAGGAAGCAGGCUCCCUGCUGAGCAGGGAUCCCAAUUUGGAGCUCGAUCCCAGGACCCAGGAUCAUGACCCAAGCUGAAGACUGAGGCUCGAAUCCACCGAGCCACACAGGCGCCCCUAAUUAAAAUAGUUAUUUUAAGUAUAUCCCCAUCCGGCUGAUAUGCUGUAAAUUGCUUAAUGUUUCUGUACUAGCGGACAUGCAUUCAUUUACCUAUUUGAUGUGUAUCGAGCACGUGCAACUGUGUCAGGGUUUAUGGUAGGACCCGGAAAUACAAAACAGUGUCUCUCUGAACAUUUGCUCAGAGACUGAACACAAGCAAAUGAAAAGGGAGAAGUAGGGAAGCCGUGUUCCCUCCUGGGGGAACCAACAUGCAGCCUCUCACCCUUAGAACCAGGCAGGGCUUUUCUCCUGUUUUGAACAGAGGAGGAUCGUGAUACUUGGGAAGCCCCAAUUUCAUUGUUUUAUGCCCCUGUCGUCUCUUGGCCCACCCUCCCUUCCUACUCUGUCAAAACCGUCUCUCAGCUCCCUUCAUUUCACUGAGGUGUGAAAGCCUGAAAAUGUAAUCCCCGAUUGUAUUUUUAUUUUAUUUUUUAAAGAUGUUACUUAUUUAUUUGAAAGAGAGAGAGAGGAGAGCAGACAGGGGGGCAGAGGCAGAGGGAGAGACAAAAUCCUCAAGCAGACUUCCCACUGAGCCGGGAGCCAGACAUGGGGCCCCAACCCAGGACCCUGAGAUCAUGACCUGAGCCGAAGUCAGACGCUCCAGGCACCCAGCCCCUGCAUUUGUAUUUUAAAUUGGUCUAGGGUAAAUGGAUAAAGCUCAGACAGCCUCAGUUAUCCAGUAGGAUUAUGUGAGGCUUUGCACCUCCGUGUGUCCCUGAAAUCAUUCUACUUUAGACUUGUGGCUCUUUUUAGCCAACCAGAUUUCCUUACCAGCUCUGAAAACGUGGCUGCUAGACCUUCGCCCGGCAGCGGGCAGGAGACCCAUUUCCACUCCAAAAAAUGGGAUGCGCACUCCCUCUACCGGUCAUUUCGUGAACUGCUCUGGACUCCUUGCAAUUUCACUAGCUUGCUGAGGGGGUGUGUGGGCGGGUUUAGGGGCGGAGGGACAGGCAUGUGCCAGUUCAUUUUAGCCGUAUCUCCAAACCAGGAGGAGUCAUUUGCCCCCUAACACCCACACCCACACCUACACCCACACCCACACACCCACACAGGUUAAACAAGCAAGUGUCUUCACACUCCCACCGUCUGGGCUACACAGCAAGGGGCCGUGGUGAACAUUAACCACUGACAACCUCUCACAUGUUUACUGACACUUUGGAGGCAAAUACAGGCGUAUCACAUGUUAUUGUGCUUUGCAGAUGUUGCAUUUUUCACCAGCGGAAGGCUUGAGGCAACCCUGCCCCGAGCAGGUCUCUUGGUGCCGUUUUCCCAACAGCAUGGGCUCGCCUCGUGUCUCUGUGUCACAUUCUGGUUAUCCUUGCAGUAUUUCGAACGUUGUCAUUAUUAUUACCUGUGAAUUGCUGCAAUCUCAUGGCGAAACCUGAGCCGCUGAGGACAGAGAGCGGCUUCUCGAGACGGGCUCUGAGGUUGAAGAAGCUGUGGGCACGAAGUGGCUACGGAAGGUUUAGAAUGUUCCGGAGCCGGGUGGAUAAAUCAGUGGGAGGCUUGGAGAGGGUUGACUCAGCUGUGAAAGAAGUUCGACUGCGGGUAAAACAUUCUCGACGCUAACAGAGAAAUGGUUCACCAAAGGACGAGUCAACCAAGGCGCGGCAAACUGCGCUGUUGUCUCAUUUUAAGAAAUUGCCCCGUCAUCCUGGCCUUCACCCCAACCUCUGCUGCCUGAUCCGCCAGCAGCCAUCAGCGUCAAGGCCAGAGCCUCCAGCAGCACAAAGAUUCCGACUCACUACAAGCUCAAAUGGUGGUUAGCGUUUUUUAGCAAUUAAGUAUGUUUUAACUAAGGUAUGUCUUUUGGGGGACAUAACGCUGUGGCACGCUUACUAGACUACCAUCCCCAGUAAACAUCACUUUCACAGGCCCUGGGAAACCGAAGCAUUCGCUGGGCUCGCUUUUCUGUGAUAGUCGAGCGGCAGUGGUGGUCUGGAACCGAACCCGCGGCACCUCUGAGGUAAGCCUGGUCCGGGGAGGUUGGUGGAUAGUUUGACUCAGCUUAACCGUCUUGCACAACUUGUGUCAGAUGGGAAAAGUCAGCGUGUUUUGGCCGAAGACUGCUCCUCAGCGGAAUCUGUGAGCCACGCUGGUGGUCCCCCGUUGUGUCCUCCAACCGUGCUUGCUGCCCCAGGCCUGUCCCGGUGCCACCGUGGGGGGCGACCUCCCUUCCACAGGCAGCCGGCAGCUCAGCCGUGUGCUUUCUCCAACCCCAUCUCUGCUGACCCCAAAGCGAGAUGACUGAGGCUGCUCUGACUGGAGUCGCCCGGGGGUCAUCCACAGCACCCCUGGCCAUGCCUCGCAGCCCAGGACUCCGGGCUUGGAACAUGGCCUAUGUUAACCAAAGGUUCUCCAACUCCAGUGCCCUCCGAGUCACCUGGACCCUUACUGAGACACAAAGUGCUGAGUCCCAAGCCCAGAGGUUCUGAUUCGGCAGGUCUGAGGCGAGGCCCAAGAUUACAAAUUCCUGGUACGUCCCCAGGUGAGGAGAUGCUGCUGGUCCCAGGUCCACACUAGAAGUGGGAACAGCUUUCCGGCCCUGCCAGCUGGCCUUGUCUCCCCGGGCGGGCUGAACACACACAUGGCCUCUUCAGGUGGUUCUACCUGGGCUCUGCGCCCCUCCCCCAGAGGCUCCCCUUAGCUGCCCCAGAAAUGCUCCCUGGGGCGUGAGUGGAAACAUGACCUGGUUGUUCUUUUCACUGUCCAGAUGGGAGGCUUUUGUGUGUCCUCAGUGAAGAGGAACAAGGUAGGGAUCUGGUUUCUCAGACUCCAGGCCGGUUCGGAGCCCAGCAGGUGCAUCGCGGACGACGGCGGGGAAGGAAAGCAGGUGGUGCUGCUGGCCCGUCUCCAGCCUGCGGGGACCAGAGCUAGAGGCCUCGGCUUCUGUUCAGGAACAAACUUCCUCCCCCACGGAGCCCAGGGAGGGCCAGGCUGACCCCUGGGGAGUGUCAGCCUUCGCUGCUCCCUGCUGCUCCCUGUCAGCCCUGUGUCUUGCGCCCCUCCCCUUUCCUCCGGACUCCGGACUCCUGCGUCAGGAAACAGGGCAGGUUCCAGGUGGGAGCAGGGGCACCGGGGCUAGAAAAACUGGCUUCAAGGAAAGCGGUUUCCUCCCCGGUGAAGACAGCACACACCCCAUCCCCACAGCCCCUGACUGCCACCAAGCCAGGAAAGCAAGCAGCACCCUUACCUGGUCCGGAGAGAAGGCAGCAAAAGACAGAAGAGGGCCAGGCGGGUCUGUCCGUAGCAACAGCCCCGAACGCGCUGAGAGGCCGACCUUCCCCCUUCUCCGCUCCAUCUCCAGCCUCCUCCUGCACAGUCCGGGCCGACUUUCCUUCCUGAAGGACACGUGGCUGGGAGGUUUUGCCCGUUCCUUCACGUCAGCACCCUCCCCGGACAGAUGAGCUCUUUGGAAACGGGAAAGAUUCUCCCGAAAUAGAGGGGUUUGCAGGAAGUCUGUCCCACAGAGCAGACCAGAUCCCAUAAGCACUCCAGUCCGAGGCUCACACGUAGCUUCCCGACAGUAACUAGGGAUGCCUUUGAUUAAAAAACCAAACCAAACCAAAAAACCCCACAGAUGGUUCAAGCCGGUUCCCAGAAACUGACUCCUCGAACUGGGGAUGGGGCUUUGGAAGUUUUCACAAGCGUCCGACGAGCCCCCAAAGCAACUGGGCUGUGGCCACCUUUGCCUAGGAAGGCUCUUACCGCCUGUUGGGGGGCUACCGGGGCUGUUGGUACGUGGGGAGGUUCCUCCUGAAACAGUGCUUUGGGGGCUCGGAAGAUCCAACCACAGGUCUGGGUUAGGAAGGAGCCCCCAGAUGACCAACCGAAGCAUCGUCCAGGGCUGGGGGGAGGGCUCGGUGUGGCCCCUCUGUGGAAGGCUCCAUGGGCAACAUCACCGACCCAACGGCUAGCAGUGCUGGCCAGGCUCCCCACUAAACAGUUAGGGUCCUACUUUCAGAGGGGAUAAUAACAAGCCUCACCUGUUGAGAACAGUCCCCAAAGUCGUUCUUGUGCAUGAUCUCAUCUGCCCCCGUGACGGAGGCCACUUUGGUUCCUACAACCACAGCAGCUCUGAAAGAAGGCUGGGCUUCAGCCGAGACCUGCCUCGAGUUCCCCCAUUCACCCCCACCCCACAGGCCUGUAGUCUAAGUAAAAUGGUGUAUAUGUGCUUGCAGACAAUUUCCCAGCACCCCCAUCUCUCUCCUGAGGGCCCCCUAAGUGCCUCCUAUGGAAAAUUCUGGAGCCUCACUAAUUACAACCAUUUUGCGGAAGAAUAAACUCAGACUCAGCCUUGCCAAGAGUUGCAUAGCUAGGAAAGAAUGGAGUCAGGGCCCCGCUCCUCCCCCCCUUGGGGAGAUUGCCCAGGGAAGGCCUCUCUCCUAGCCUCUGCUGCCUCCUCUGGGAAAGGGAGGUCAGAACCCGCAGGUCAGGAGUGGCUGGCAGAGCUUCAGCCCCAGGCAAGGAAUUUCUGCCUCCUGCAUCCAUAAGACAGUUGGGUCCACAGAGACCCUCCCAUACCCAACCUGUCUGGGGGAAGCCGCCCCUGGUUCCCCAAGGGAAACCCACUUCCUAAGUCCCUGGGUCUCCCCGUGAGGAUGUGGGUCAGGGACAGAUGUUGGGGAAAGGCAUUCCCGGCAUUCAGAGGUAGACACUCUAGGCUCCAAAUAAUAAUGAUAAGGAUGAGCUAUAUGGGUGACCCCCACAUUUGGGCGUAUCUGGAAUCUUCUGGAAACACAAAGUCCCACGAACCACCCACACAUACUCCUGAGCCAGACAACCAGAGAAAGAGUGAGUUCAUCUGUGGGAGGCUCUUUGAUAACAACUGUAUAUUGAAUAAAGUUUAAAAUAGAAAUCCGA